Molecule: long non-coding RNA, 1189 nt
Organism: Homo sapiens (human)
Lineage: Eukaryota; Metazoa; Chordata; Mammalia; Primates; Hominidae
Source: Ensembl
GGCAAACAACUUAACCUCUCCAAGCCUCAAUUUCCCCAUCUAUAUAAUGGUGAUAUUUAUAAGUUUCACCUUAUAGGGCCACGGUGGGGAUUCCAUGAAAUAGUGUAUGUGAAGUGCUUAGCACAGUGCCUGGCACAUACUCAAUGCUCUAUGCAUGUCAGCUAGUACUUAAUGAUGCUAAUAAACAUGUUAUGUCCCUAAGCACGGGUGGGAUCUUGCCUGACGUCCUUCUCUCUGCGUCCUGGUCAGUCUUCACAUGGUGGGCAUCCUUUAUUUCCGGUCACACACGGGUGGUACACAGAGCAUGCUGUUUCUUUCGUGCCAGAAGGUUCCCGCUGCAGCUCUCCUGCUAGUUUAGCUUAGCCUUCUGGUUUGAGGGAUGAGUCACAUGUACCAUCACUUCCCAGGACCAACAGGACCUUUCAGGAAAGCUAUCCCCUGCUUACACAGAGAAUUGCCCUUGCCUAACACUGAAGCCUGGCAGAGUAACAUGAAAUAACCACAGCAAUUCUAAAAUUAGAAUUAGCACGCCUAGAAUAACAGGCGCUGUUGUAGGAGCAAGGUAUACAAUGAUGAUCAAGGCAGAUGCAGCCCUUACCUUCAGGUCGUGGAGUCCGGAUACAGACUGGAGGCAGAGGCAGCUGUAAGAUGUGUGACAAAUGCUGCGCUGGAUCAGCCCAUGGUAUUAGGAGAGCAGCUGAGUGCCACGUGCUGACAUCACUAAGAUCAAUACAGCAAACUCUGAAAGAUGGACGGAGAGACAGGAGAUGGUCCUUUAUAAUGCAGUGUGAUCUGUGCUGCAAUAGAGAUGGAAGAGUGUUCUGAUCGGCUGGAAAACAACGCACAUGGGAAGCUGUACAGAAAUGAGUGGGGAAAGUUUUGGAAGCUAGAAGUUCAAAACGAGGUGUUGGCAGCACCAUGCUCUCUCUGAAGAUGCUAGGAAGAAUCUGCUCCAUGCCUUUCCAUUCGCUUCUGGGGUUUCCUGCAAGCCCUGACAUUCCUUGGCUUGUAGAUACACCACCCCAGUUUCCGCCCCCAUCAUCACAUGGCCUCCUCUCUGUGUGUGCCUCUGCGUUCCCUCUAUUCUUCUUCUAAGGACACCGACACCAGUCAUAGUGGAUUAAGGGUCCACUCCUAACCAAUUACAUCUGCAACAACCCUAUUUCCAAAUAAAGUCACAUUCUAAGAU